RNAcentral lists this ribosomal RNA (508 nucleotides) under uncultured bacterium. RNAcentral describes it as "bacterial SSU rRNA". It matches the Rfam family "Bacterial small subunit ribosomal RNA", at positions 1 to 518 of the family's 1533-position model. The record is from RNAcentral.
AGAAUUGAUCUGGUCAGGACGAACGCUGGCGGCGAGCUUAACACAUGCAAGUCGAACGGGGAUAAUGACGGAAAGCUUCGGCCGGAAGACAUUAUCGAGUGGCGGACGGGUGAGUAACGCGUGAGCAAUCUGUCCCAGACAGGGGGAUAACACUUGGAAACAGGUGCUAAUACCGCAUAAGACCACGGUGUCGCAUGGCACAGGGGUAAAAGGAGCGAUCCGGUUUGGGGUGAGCUCGCGUCCGAUUAGCCAGUUGGCGGGGUAACGGCCCACCAAAGCGACGAUCGGUAGCCGACCUGAGAGGGUGAUCGGCCACAUUGGAACUGAGAGACGGUCCAAACUCCUACGGGAGGCAGCAGUGGGGAAUAUUGGGCAAUGGGCGAAAGCCUGACCCAGCAACGCCGCGUGAGUGAAGAAGGCCUUCGGGUUGUAAAGCUCUGUUACAGGUGACGAAGGAAGUGACGGUAACUUGUAAGGAAGCCCCGGCUAACUACGUGCCAGCAGCGGC